Long non-coding RNA from Raphanus sativus (radish), 1299 nucleotides. RefSeq lists it as uncharacterized. The transcript has 4 exons. The record is from RefSeq and is a predicted model, not a curated record. NCBI's taxonomy places the organism in Eukaryota, Viridiplantae, Streptophyta, Magnoliopsida, Brassicales, Brassicaceae.
CAUCAAGUGCUCCAUCGCCAUUAAGAGCGUUCUUAAUUCUUAGCACACACAAAUCAUGAUUCCUCAGUCGGUGCUCCCUAUCUCCUUUUUAGGCGGUGGAACCACCUAUAAAAAGGUGACGCUCAUGCUAGCCACCGUCAACUCCACCGCCUCACUCGGUGCGUCACCUGUCUCUCCUCUAUUGAUACGGUUCAAUGAUUCAACCACUUUGGAUGAGAUAACGGAGUCAUCUAAUCAAGUUGAGUGCACUCUGCCACAUCAAUUAGAUGUAAAGGCUUUAUCUUCAACCAUAUAGUGUUCAUCAUGUAUGCAUAAUCAUUCUCAUUCUGUGAUUGUAGAUCUCUUUACAUUGAUCAUUAACAGUAUUUAGUAACCCACAAAUCUAAUGUUAUCCUCUUUAUGUAACACAUGAGAGCUAUUUUUCAUAGAUUUGUAGAACUGUAGAAUUCUUUUUGUGUCACUUGAAAUAAUCUUGGAUUGACUUUUGUAUGGUAGCAGAGCUGAAGAGUUAUGAAGUAUCACUUUCCAGAAACGUUCAUUCUCGCCCAAUUAAAGUAACAUGGUCUGUGCAAGUGCAUUAUUUUAUUAUGGAUCUAGAUCCCAGACUUUGAGCAAGAUCGUAGAGGUAGCCGAGCGUAUAGCCAAAUUGGCCAUGCAUUCAAUAUCGUGAAGAUGCUUACCACAAGGUUGUGAUGUGAUUGGUAUUGACGAAGCUCAGUUCUCUGGAAAUCUUUAUGAGUUUUGCUGAUGCAAAGACGCUGAUGAUGAUGGCAAAACGGGCAUUGUUGCAGUCGUUGAUGGUGAUUAUUUAAGGAGCUUCGGUGAUGUUCUUGAAUAUUUACCAAUAACUGAUUCUGUGACAAAGUUUACUGCAAGGUGUGAUGUUUGUGGACAGAAAGGUUUCUUCACUGUGAGGAAGACUUGUGACACCAGAACCGAGCUGAUGGGUGGGGCUAAUGUAUGUAUCCCUGUUUGUCUUAAGCAUUAUGUCAAUAAUCAAAUUGUCAUCAAAGCUUCAAAGUAAGUUUUGGAUUCUGACAAGGCAAGAGCUGACACCUGUGUGGAGACAGUUGCUGCUAUGAUCUAACUAUGAAUUGAUGCGAAACGCACUACACAUAUAAUAUAGUGAGAUUCUGUUUUUUGAAGGUGCCAUGUUUGUUUGCUGCUAAGUUUUGAAUCUUAUGUCAUUUUAUCAAAACAUGAAGGUUGCCGAUCAUUUUUGCAAUUUAAUAGUCUAAGUAAAGUUUACUGAUUUCCAAAUCGAAUAUAUAGAUUAUAAUAAUAUUUACAAAUUCUUAA